GACGGAGGGUGCUAGCGUUGUUCGGAAUGACUGGGCGUAAAGGGCGCGUAGGCGGCCGACCCAGUCGGGUGUGAAAGCCCGGGGCUCAACCUCGGAACGGCACCCGAUACUGGUUGGCUGGAGACCGAGAGAGGUGAGUGGAAUACCCAGUGUAGAGGUGAAAUGCGUAGAUAUCUGGAGGAACACCGGUGGCGAAGGCGGCAUCCUGGACCGACACUGACGCUGAGGCGCGAAAGCUAGGGGAGCAAACGGG
RNAcentral lists this ribosomal RNA (253 nucleotides) under uncultured bacterium. RNAcentral describes it as "partial 16S ribosomal RNA". It matches the Rfam family "Bacterial small subunit ribosomal RNA", at positions 524 to 776 of the family's 1533-position model. The record is from RNAcentral.